This 392-nucleotide ribosomal RNA is filed under the name uncultured bacterium. RNAcentral's name for it is "bacterial SSU rRNA". It matches the Rfam family "Bacterial small subunit ribosomal RNA", at positions 28 to 424 of the family's 1533-position model. The record is from RNAcentral.
GAUGAACGCUGGCGGCGUGCUUAAUACAUGCAAGUCGAACGGAGACUGUAGCAAUACUGUCUUAGUGGCGAACGGGUGAGUAACGCGUUGGUGACCUGCCCCGAAGAGGGGGAUAACAGUCCGAAAGGAUUGCUAAUACCCCAUGUGGUCGUUUGGAUUAGAUGCCUUAUGACUAAACGGAUUUAUUCGCUUCGGGAGGGGCCUGCGUCCCAUCAGCUAGUUGGUGAGGUAAUAGCUUACCAAGGCGAUGACGGGUAGGGGACCUGAGAGGGUGGCCCCCCACAAUGGAACUGAAACACGGUCCAUACACCUACGGGUGGCAGCAGUAGGGAAUAUUGGUAAUCUGGGAAACCGGGAACCAGCAACGCCGCGUGCGCGAUGACGGCCUGGUU